Long non-coding RNA from Eptesicus fuscus (big brown bat), 299 nucleotides. RefSeq lists it as uncharacterized. The transcript is spliced from 3 exons. Lineage: Eukaryota; Metazoa; Chordata; Mammalia; Chiroptera; Vespertilionidae. The record is from RefSeq and is a predicted model, not a curated record.
AUCCGCGGGCGCCCAGGAGCCCGGAGACGGUCGGAGAGGGCAGCGGGUUCCUACCGAGACCGAGCACCUUGAACAUAAAAGGAAUUCAAUGAAUGUCUACUGAAUGGAUGGAUUCCUUCCAUGAAGAAAGGAGCCAAGAGAAUGACUAAUGAAGGUAAUUAGCCAGAAAGAAAGCCAUGUAGAGAGUUGAAAUCUUCUAUGAAGAAAGAAAGAAGGAGAGAAGAGGCCCCAGAUCCAAGGCCUAAAGAAGAUGGACGUUUAGAAUUUUGGAGGAAAGACCAACAAAAAGAGCGAGAAGC